RNAcentral lists this ribosomal RNA (500 nucleotides) under uncultured bacterium. RNAcentral describes it as "partial 16S ribosomal RNA". It matches the Rfam family "Bacterial small subunit ribosomal RNA", at positions 30 to 523 of the family's 1533-position model. The record is from RNAcentral.
AUUGAACGCUGGCGGAAUGCUUUACACAUGCAAGUCGAACGGCAGCACGGACUUCGGUCUGGUGGCGAGUGGCGAACGGGUGAGUAAUACAUCGGAACGUGCCCAAUCGUGGGGGAUAACGUAGCGAAAGCUACGCUAAUACCGCAUACGAUCUAAGGAUGAAAGCGGGGGAUCGCAAGACCUCGCGCGAUUGGAGCGGCCGAUGGCAGAUCAGGUAGUUGGUAGGGUAAAGGCCUACCAAGCCGACGACCUGUAGCUGGUCUGAGAGGAUGAUCAGCCCCACGGGGACUGAGACACGGCCCAGACUCCUACGGGAGGCAGCAGUGGGGAAUUUUGGACAAUGGACGCAAGUCUGAUCCAGCCAUUCCGCGUGCAGGAUGAAGGCCCUCGGGUUGUAAACUGCUUUUGUACAGAACGAAAAGGCUCUGGUUAAUACCUAGGGCUCAUGACGGUACUGUAAGAAUAAGCACCGGCUAACUACGUGCCAACCGCCGCGGUAA